UGGGGAAUUUUGGACAAUGGGCGCAAGCCUGAUCCAGCAAUGCCGCGUGCAGGAUGAAGGCCUUCGGGUCGUAAACUGCUUUUGGACGGAACGAAAAGGCACUGGUUAAUACCUGGGGCUCAUGACGGUACCGUAAGAAUAAGCACCGGCUAACUACGUGCCAGCAGCCGCGGUAAUACGUAGGGUGCAAGCGGUAAUCGGAAUUACUGGGCGUAAAGCGUGCGCAGGCGGUGUGAUAAGACAGAAGUGAAAUCCCCGGGCUCAACCUGGGAACUGCGUUUGUGACUGCAUAACUAGAGUACGACAGAGGGAGGUGGAAUUCCGCGUGUAGCAGUGACAUGCGUAGAUAUGCGGAGGAACGCCGAUGGCGCAGGCAAUCCCCUGGGCCUGUACUGACGCUCAUGCACGAAAGCGUGGGGAGCAAACA
This 427-nucleotide ribosomal RNA is filed under the name uncultured bacterium. RNAcentral describes it as "bacterial SSU rRNA". It matches the Rfam family "Bacterial small subunit ribosomal RNA", at positions 355 to 774 of the family's 1533-position model. The record is from RNAcentral.